Molecule: transfer RNA, 81 nt
Filed under: Nitrosomonadaceae bacterium
Lineage: Bacteria; Pseudomonadati; Pseudomonadota; Betaproteobacteria; Nitrosomonadales; Nitrosomonadaceae
Description: tRNA-Leu
Rfam family: tRNA
About the family: Transfer RNA (tRNA) molecules are approximately 80 nucleotides in length. Their secondary structure includes four short double-helical elements and three loops (D, anti-codon, and T loops).
Source: RNAcentral
GGGGGAGUAGCCCAAAUAAAUGGCAGAGGCAUCAGGCUUAAAACUUGAUAGUUGUGGGUUCGACCCCCACCUCCCCUACCA